UCGUGGAUUGAUUUGUCUGGUUAAUUCCGAUAACGAACGAGACCUUAAUCUGCUAAUUAGUUGGGCAAAGUCUAACUUUGUUUUUCCAACUUCUUAGAGAGACAGCUGGCGUUUAGCCAAAGGAAGUUUGAGGCAAUAACA
RNAcentral lists this ribosomal RNA (141 nucleotides) under uncultured eukaryote. RNAcentral's name for it is "partial 18S ribosomal RNA". It matches the Rfam family "Eukaryotic small subunit ribosomal RNA", at positions 1299 to 1458 of the family's 1831-position model. The record is from RNAcentral.